This 497-nucleotide ribosomal RNA is filed under the name uncultured bacterium. Its description in RNAcentral is "partial 16S ribosomal RNA". It matches the Rfam family "Bacterial small subunit ribosomal RNA", at positions 28 to 507 of the family's 1533-position model. The record is from RNAcentral.
GAUGAACGCUGGCGGCGUGCCUAAUACAUGCAAGUCGAGCGAACAGACGAGGAGCUUGCUCCUCUGACGUUAGCGGCGGACGGGUGAGUAACACGUGGAUAACCUACCUAUAAGACUGGGAUAACUUCGGGAAACCGGAGCUAAUACCGGAUAAUAUAUUGAACCGCAUGGUUCAGUAGUGAAAGACGGUUCUGCUGUCACUUAUAGAUGGAUCCGCGCCGCAUUAGCUAGUUGGUAAGGUAACGGCUUACCAAGGCAACGAUGCGUAGCCGACCUGAGAGGGUGAUCGGCCACACUGGAACUGAGACACGGUCCAGACUCCUACGGGAGGCAGCAGUAGGGAAUCUUCCGCAAUGGGCGAAAGCCUGACGGAGCAACGCCGCGUGAGUGAUGAAGGUCUUCGGAUCGUAAAACUCUGUUAUUAGGGAAGAACAAAUGUGUAAGUAACUAUGCACGUCUUGACGGUACCUAAUCAGAAAGCCACGGCUAACUACGUG